RNAcentral lists this long non-coding RNA (539 nucleotides) under Medicago truncatula (barrel medic). RNAcentral's name for it is "long non-coding RNA (MTRU_LNC004540)". The record is from RNAcentral. Lineage: Eukaryota; Viridiplantae; Streptophyta; Magnoliopsida; Fabales; Fabaceae.
UAAUGUCGACUGCUCCUGCACCAUCUUCGCCGCCGGCGGGUAACGCCACCGCACCACCACCAGCAACACCUACUGCACCACCACCUGCAACACCUUCAUCACCACCACCUGCAACACCUUCAUCACCACCUCCGGCAACACCUUCAUCACCUCCGCCGUCAACUCCGGCGAAUCCACCACCGGUCACCCCAUCUGCUCCGCCUCCUUCUACCCCGGCAACACCUUCAUCACCACCUCCGUCGACGACUCCAUCAGCACCACCACCAUCAACACCUUCAAAUUCACCACCCUCGCCACCAACAACUCCGGCGAUAUCACCACCGUCCGGAGGAGGCACUACUCCGUCUCCACCUUCCCGGACUCCACCAAGCUCUGAUGACAGUCCAUCACCACCAUCCUCCAAAACUCCGCCGCCACCUUCACCACCGUCUUCAUCAAGUAUAUCAACAGGAACUGUCAUCGGAAUCGCCGUUGGAGCGGUGGUGGUUCUGGUGUUUUUCAGCAUUUGUUGCAUUUGCUUUAGGAAGAAGAAGAGAAGA